This 497-nucleotide ribosomal RNA is filed under the name uncultured bacterium. RNAcentral's name for it is "partial 16S ribosomal RNA". It matches the Rfam family "Bacterial small subunit ribosomal RNA", at positions 28 to 507 of the family's 1533-position model. The record is from RNAcentral.
GACGAACGCUGGCGGCGUGCCUAAUACAUGCAAGUUGAGCGCUGAAGGUUGGUACUUGUACCGACUGGAUGAGCAGCGAACGGGUGAGUAACGCGUGGGGAAUCUGCCUUUGAGCGGGGGACAACAUUUGGAAACGAAUGCUAAUACCGCAUAAAAACUUUAAACACAAGUUUUAAGUUUGAAAGAUGCAAUUGCAUCACUCAAAGAUGAUCCCGCGUUGUAUUAGCUAGUUGGUGAGGUAAAGGCUCACCAAGGCGAGGAUACAUAGCCGACCUGAGAGGGUGAUCGGCCACAUUGGGACUGAGACACGGCCCAAACUCCUACGGGAGGCAGCAGUAGGGAAUCUUCGGCAAUGGACGAAAGUCUGACCGAGCAACGCCGCGUGAGUGAAGAAGGUUUUCGGAUCGUAAAACUCUGUUGGUAGAGAAGAACGUUGGUGAGAGUGGAAAGCUCAUCAAGUGACGGUAACUACCCAGAAAGGGACGGCUAACUACGUG